This 2793-nucleotide ribosomal RNA is filed under the name Erythrobacter aureus. Its description in RNAcentral is "bacterial LSU rRNA". It matches the Rfam family "Bacterial large subunit ribosomal RNA". Lineage: Bacteria; Pseudomonadati; Pseudomonadota; Alphaproteobacteria; Sphingomonadales; Erythrobacteraceae. The record is from RNAcentral.
GUGGAUUCUCAAGCGUGAGGUAAGAGCAUUUGGUGGAUGCCUUGGCAUGUGCAGGCGAUGAAGGACGUGGCACGCUGCGAUAAGCGUCGGGGAGAUGUGAGCAAUCUUUGAUCCGGCGAUUUCCGAAUGGGGAAACCCACCCUCACCAUUUCCUUUCGAUUGUUUUCGGACAGUCGGAAAGAGGUGGAUAGGGUAUCACCAGACUGAAUACAUAGGUUUGGUGAAGCGAACCCGGGGAACUGAAACAUCUCAGUACCCGGAGGAAAAGACAUCAACAGAGAUUCCCGUAGUAGUGGCGAGCGAACCGGGACCAGGCCAGUGCCUUCAUUUCAACUAGCAAAACACUUUGGAAAGAGUGGCCAUAGCGGGUGACAGCCCCGUAUGCGAAAGUGAUGAUGAAGGACUCGAGUAGGGCGGGACACGUGAAAUCCUGUCUGAACAUGGGGGGACCACCCUCCAAGCCUAAAUACUCGCACAUGACCGAUAGCGAACACAGUACCGUGAGGGAAAGGUGAAAAGCACCCCGAUUAGGGGAGUGAAACAGUACCUGAAACCGGAUGCUUACAAGCAGUUGGAGCCCCAUAGGGGUGACAGCGUACCUCUUGCAUAAUGGGUCAGUGACUUAAUCUACCAUGCAAGCUUAAGCCGUUAGGUGUAGGCGCAGCGAAAGCGAGUCUGAACAGGGCGACUGAGUAUGAUGGAUUAGACCCGAACCCCGGCGAUCUAGGCAUGGCCAGGUUGAAGGUGCGGUAACACGCACUGGAGGACCGAACCGGUGAAUGUUGAAAAAUUCUCGGAUGAGCUGUGUUUAGGGGUGAAAGGCCAAUCAAGCCGGGAAAUAGCUGGUUCUCCGCGAAAUCUAUUGAGGUAGAGCGUCGGAUGUAUGCCGAUGGGGGUAGAGCACUGGAUGGGCUAGGGCUGCGCGAGCGGUACCAAACCUAACCAAACUCCGAAUACCAUCGAGUCUUAUCCGGCAGACAGACGGCGGGUGCUAAGGUCCGUCGUCAAAAGGGAAACAGCCCUAACCUACAGCUAAGGUCCCCAAGUCAUAUCUAAGUGGGAAAGCAUGUGGGAAUCCCAAAACAACCAGGAGGUUGGCUUAGAAGCAGCCAUCCUUUAAAGAAAGCGUAACAGCUCACUGGUCUAAAUAAGGGUUCCUGCGGCGAAGAUGUAACGGGGCUAAAGAUAUGCACCGAAGCUUAGGGUUCAGAAUUUAUUCUGAGCGGUAGCGGAGCGUUCCGUAAGCGAGUGAAGGCGAAGGGUAACCGACGCUGGACGUAUCGGAAGUGCGAAUGCUGACAUGAGUAGCGACAAACAGGGUGAGAUGCCCUGUCGCCGAAAGACCAAGGGUUCCUGCUCAACGCUAAUCGGAGCAGGGUUAGCCGGCCCUAAGACGAGCCCGAAGGGGGUAGUCGAUGGGAACCACGUAAAUAUUCGUGGGCCUGAAGAUGUGUGACGGAUCGUGGACGUUGUUCACCCUUAUUGGAUUGGGUGGGCAGCCAAGCGGUUCCAGGAAAUAGCCUCUUCACUAUAGACCGUACCCGAAACCGACACAGGUGGUCAGGUAGAGUAUACCAAGGCGCUUGAGAGAAGUAUCCUGAAGGAACUCGGCAAAUUGCCUCCGUACCUUCGGAAGAAGGAGGCCCAUAUCGACGCAAGUCUUUGUGGGGGCACAGGCCAGGGGUAGCGACUGUUUAGCAAAAACACAGCACUCUGCUAAGUCGGCUUCAAGACGACGUAUAGGGUGUGACGCCUGCCCGGUGCUCGAAGGUUAAGAGGAGGAGUGCAAGCUCCGAAUUGAAGCCCGAGUAAACGGCGGCCGUAACUAUAACGGUCCUAAGGUAGCGAAAUUCCUUGUCGGGUAAGUUCCGACCUGCACGAAUGGCGUAACGACUUCCCCACUGUCUCCAGGAUAUGCUCAGCGAAAUUGAAUUCUCCGUGAAGAUGCGGAGUACCCGCGGUUAGACGGAAAGACCCCGUGCACCUUUACUGCAGCUUCAGAGUGGCAUUAGGAAAUUACUGUGUAGAAUAGGUGGGAGGCUUUGAAACUCGGGCGCCAGUCCGAGGGGAGCCAACCUGUGAAAUACCACCCUGUGAUUUUCUGAUGUCUAACCAGGCACCGUUAGCCGGUGUUGGGACCCUCUGUGGCGGGUAGUUUGACUGGGGCGGUCGCCUCCUAAAGAGUAACGGAGGCGCGCGAUGGUAGGCUCAGGACGGUUGGAAACCGUCUGCAAGAGUGCAAUGGCAUAAGCCUGCCUGACUGCGAGACUGACGAGUCGAGCAGAGACGAAAGUCGGUCAUAGUGAUCCGGUGGUCCCUCGUGGAAGGGCCAUCGCUCAACGGAUAAAAGGUACGCCGGGAUAACAGGCUGAUGAUUCCCAAGAGCUCAUAUCGACGGAAUCGUUUGGCACCUCGAUGUCGGCUCAUCACAUCCUGGGGCUGGAGCAGGUCCCAAGGGUUUGGCUGUUCGCCAAUUAAAGUGGUACGUGAGCUGGGUUCAGAACGUCGCGAGACAGUUUGGUCCCUAUCUGCCGUGGGCGUCGAUUGUUGAAAGGAGUUGCCCCUAGUACGAGAGGACCGGGGUGAACGUGCCUCUGGUGUACCUGUCAUCCUGCCAAGGGUGCCGCAGGGUAGCUAUGCACGGACGGGAUAACCGCUGAAAGCAUCUAAGCGGGAAGCCUCCCUUGAGAUAAGCAAUCUUCGAACCGUCAUAGACCAUGACGUUGAUAGGCCGGGUGUGGAAGCGCAGUAAUGCGUGGAGCUAACCGGUCCUAAUAGUUCUUUUCGCGCUUG